Molecule: ribosomal RNA, 253 nt
Filed under: uncultured bacterium
Lineage: Bacteria
Description: partial 16S ribosomal RNA
Rfam family: Bacterial small subunit ribosomal RNA
Source: RNAcentral
UACAGAGGGUGCGAGCGUUAAUCGGAGUUACUGGGCGUAAAGGGCGCGUAGGCGGUUAUGUGAGUGUGAUGUGAAAGCCCUGGGCUUAACCUAGGAAGUGCAUCGCAAACGACAUAACUGGAGUAUAAGAGAGGGUGGCGGAAUUUCCGGUGUAGCGGUGAAAUGCGUAGAGAUCGGAAGGAACGUCAAUGGCGAAGGCAGCCACCUGGCUUAAUACUGACGCUGAGGCGCGAAAGCGUGGGGAGCGAACAGG